GCGGGAGUAGCUCAUUUGGUAGAGCGAUAGCCUUCCAAGCUAUAGGUCGCGAGUUCGAGCCUCGUCUCCCGCU
This 73-nucleotide transfer RNA is filed under the name Hydrotalea flava. RNAcentral's name for it is "tRNA-Gly". It matches the Rfam family "tRNA". From Rfam's summary of the family: Transfer RNA (tRNA) molecules are approximately 80 nucleotides in length. Their secondary structure includes four short double-helical elements and three loops (D, anti-codon, and T loops). Further hydrogen bonds mediate the characteristic L-shaped molecular structure. tRNAs have two regions of fundamental functional importance: the anti-codon, which is responsible for specific mRNA codon recognition, and the 3' end, to which the tRNAs corresponding amino acid is attached (by aminoacyl-tRNA synthetases). tRNAs cope with the degeneracy of the genetic code in two manners: having more than one tRNA (with a specific anti-codon) for a particular amino acid; and 'wobble' base-pairing, i.e. permitting non-standard base-pairing at the 3rd anti-codon position. Lineage: Bacteria; Pseudomonadati; Bacteroidota; Chitinophagia; Chitinophagales; Chitinophagaceae. The record is from RNAcentral.